Molecule: long non-coding RNA, 1524 nt
Filed under: Ailuropoda melanoleuca (giant panda)
Lineage: Eukaryota; Metazoa; Chordata; Mammalia; Carnivora; Ursidae
Description: lncRNA (ENSAMEG00000024411.1)
Source: RNAcentral
GUGGAGAACUUGAGGUUGGGGCCCUCCACGAUGUGCUCCACAGGGCGGGCCUCCGGUAGCAGCUGCACUAGAUGCACUUGGCCUUGUCGAUGUCAUAGCGGGUGGUCCUGCAGGUGACGUGGGUCUCGCUGGUGAUGGCCUCGUAGGGGCAGAGCGCCAGGCAGAGCUGGCCCACGGUGCAGCGCUCCUCUCCUCUCCCCAUGGAUGGAUGCAUGGCGGCGCAGUGCAUGCUCCCCGUGGAAGCACGGACCCAGCGGGCCUUUCUCAGAUUGUGUUUGCCUAUUAAUAAUACUCUUGAGAGUUCCUAAGAGCAGCAGCUGGGGCCACGGGGACUGUGAAGAAAACCAAAACCACAAUCUCAGAACCUCUCCUAUUGCAUAAUCAAGAUGUGAAUCACUGUAACUGCUGAGACGCUGACCCCUGCAAAGAAAACCUUCUAACCAAUCUGUGUAGCAACCAAAGAGACCCCAAGUUAUAGCUGUUAUUCCAGAAAUUACUGUAUUUAAGCCAGGAACUCAGAGUUUUAUCUACACGGAAUGUUAUUGUUGAUCAUUUGACCUCACUGUUGAGACAGAGUGAGUUGAUGUUCCUUGCCAAAUAGCUGAGGAAGACAAAGUCUAUGCCUUCACAGCAUUGUUUAAAAAAAAAAAAUUUCUACAGAAAAUCUUCAGUCACUUCCCCACUCAAUAAAAAUUUAGAAUUAAAGCAAAAGUGUAUCAGUCAGGAUUCUUAGUUGCAAACAUCAGAAACUAGCUCCAACAGAUUUAAACAGAAAAAUAAUUUAUCAGAAGAACUGUGGAAAUGACCCUGACGUCUGUUUAAAUAAAAUGGAUAAAUUGUGAUAUACAAUGAAAUAUACAACAAUGAAAAAAGAACAAACCGUCAAUAUGCACAACAGUAUGAAUGUAGCAUAUAGAAAUAAUAUUGAGUUAAGAAGCCAAACAGUAUAUAUUUCCAUUUACAUUAAGUUCAGAAACAGGCAAAACAAAUCCAUGGUGUUAGCAUCAGUGUAGUGGUUAAUCUGCGGUGGAAGAAGGGCUAACAGGAGCCAUGAGGAGGGAUUCGGGGUGCUGGUUAGACAGGUAUGCUCAGUUUGGAAAAUUCAUUGAGCCAUGCACACUUGAUACAUAUUCUUUUCUCUAUGUAUGUCUUCGUGAAAGUCACACAGAAAGAAAUCAACAGACGGGCUAUUAGUAGGUCAAAAUAUCACCAGUAAGUGCUGGAGACACAGGUUUGGGACUGUAAGUCCAAGCAUGCCUUCCAAAUCUGGCACAAAACUUGAAUGAGUACAUCUUGCUGCGGCCACUGAGCAGCAGAUGAUGUCCUUUGCUUUGCAGACCCUGCGCCUGGGACAUACAUGUACCCCUAUCUGACAUUUGGUUAUAUGUGCAUUUGUUUAUUUCCUGUCUCCUCAACUAGAAUGUGAGCUCACUGCUGGCACAAAAUAGGUACUCAGAAAACAUUUAUUGAAUGAAUCUAACUGCCUUGUUCAUAACUGAGCAGGGUUCCCCAUCUCAUGGACGC